AGAGUUUGAUCCUGGCUCAGAAUGAACGCUGGCGGCGUGCCUAACACAUGCAAGUCGAGCGGUAAGGCCCCUUCGGGGGUACACGAGCGGCGAACGGGUGAGUAACGCGUGGGUAAUCUACCUAGAAGUGGGGGAUAGCUUCGGGAAACCGGAGGUAAUACCGCAUGUGCCCCGAGUAACGCGAGUUAUUCGGGUGAAAGAUGGGGAUCUUCGGACCUGUCGCUUCUGGAUGAGCCCGCGUCCGAUUAGCUAGUUGGUGAGGUAAUGGCUCACCAAGGCUUCGAUCGGUAGCCGGCCUGAGAGGGUGAUCGGCCACAUUGGGACUGAGACACGGCCCAGACUCCUACGGGAGGCAGCAGUGGGGAAUUUUGGGCAAUGGGGGAAACCCUGACCCAGCGACGCCGCGUGGAGGAUGAAGGUCUUCGGAUUGUAAACUCCUGUCAGGUGGGAAGAAGGUCGUCGGGUUAAUAACCCGUGCGAUUUGGCG
RNAcentral lists this ribosomal RNA (487 nucleotides) under uncultured Acidobacteriota bacterium. Its description in RNAcentral is "bacterial SSU rRNA". It matches the Rfam family "Bacterial small subunit ribosomal RNA", at positions 8 to 474 of the family's 1533-position model. The record is from RNAcentral. Lineage: Bacteria; Pseudomonadati; Acidobacteriota.